AUGGAUUUUAGAGCGCCAUUUUGAACGCAACGUCCAAACGAAGGGCUAUCACGAUUUGCGUUUGCUUCUUUGGACUCAAAACAGCUUUGAAACUCAUCCUGGACUGGUUCUUUAACAGCACCUGAGGGCGGGAGACAGCAGGUUAUGUGUCCAGGUCUUUCUCGCACACCUUCCUCGACCCCAUCACUCCCACCUGAGAAGUCUUCCAACCCUAGAAACUGCAAACAAUGACAGACCGACAACCUCUGACGUGUUUACGAUUGCAAAGCACUGU
RNAcentral lists this long non-coding RNA (274 nucleotides) under Sinocyclocheilus grahami. RNAcentral describes it as "lncRNA (ENSSGRG00000024039.1)". The record is from RNAcentral. Lineage: Eukaryota; Metazoa; Chordata; Actinopteri; Cypriniformes; Cyprinidae.